UUUCAACAUCACUUCCUCCAGAUCGUGAUGCGCACUUCGAAACCCUAGCACUGUAAUCCCCGGGUCCCUUCGGCUUCUCCCAUCUCCGAUGGACCGCCAUCAUCGCCGCCGAGCGCGAGGCCCCGCCCACCAUCUCCGUCGCAGUUCAUUAAUAGGAUGGAAGCGGUGGCAUAAGCUUUUUGAAGCCAAUAUCCAGAACACUAGUAUGGCAUCAGCUCUUAAAUCAACUUGCUUUGUUAAGCUUAGGAAACCCAUAUCUUGGUGGGUGUUUCGGUCUUCGCAACCACCAGGUGUUUCUGCCAAAAGAAGUACAAUGAUGGCUGCUUGUAGCACUGAAUUGACAAUUAGCAUAUCUGGGACAUUUCUAAAUUGAGAAGAAAAGGCAAGGUUAAGUCUCAAAAGAACUCCUACCCAGCGUAUUUCCUCUCUAUCCAGCUUGAGAGUAACGGGAAGAAUGUGAAAUCACUAAUGUUAUCAGAUUGUGGCAUGCCUUCCCAGUGUCUUUGACCUUUCAACCAAUGCACAAGCGUUGGAGGUGUUUUACUUGUGUGAUUCAGAUAUUGGGUAGAAUCUUUCAUAUGUUGGUGCUGUAGUAGUUUCGCCAAUGGUGAAGGUUGUUCUGCAAUCUAUUGCUAUAUUCUCAAACUAUAACCCAAUUCUGAAGUUCGGCUUUCAGAUGAUGUAGGGGUUCAUGGUAAUUUGCAAAGUCCCUCUUGCCUUCUAACUUGAAACACUUAAUUGAUGCACAACACAUUGGUUAAAUGUAUAACUUGAAAGAAAAUCAGUUUUUAUUUUCCCCCAUUCCCUGCCAAGAUCAGAAAACAGCAGAGUGUAUUCAGUUUUGCAUGUAGAUAUCAUGGCGUAGGCGAGAAUUGUCAUCAUGCCCUCAUUACUGGCACAAACUCAAUUGCAUGGUUAAGUUCUCAAACUUGUUUAGUUUUUCAUUAAAAUAUCAUUGAAAAAGAUACCAAGAGGAUGAUCACCAAUGGAUUGAAUGAAUACUAUAGUCUCAACAUUAUGAGCAAAAGCCAAAAGGUUAUUUUGGAAAUCUACCCUGAAACCUUUUUUUUGAAAAGUGACUCUUUGUGAUCCUACAGAAAGAGUGUGAAACCAUUUGGAUUUGGGUCAGGCUUGUGCUCCAGUUUAACCCUUAAUGAACUCACAAAGGCGUUUCUAGGAACAAGUCCAUUAGUUGCAUGGUAGAAAAACAAUUGGCUAACCAAUUUUUUUUUUUAACCCCCAUUUCUUCUCUCUCUCUCAAUCUGGUUUGGAAAGUCAUAUCCUCCAAGUUAACUCUAGAAUAAAAUUAAGAAAAAAAAAUCACAAUGUGCUUCAAGUUAACCCUUAAUGAACAGUAAACCCACUAAUGCGGAUGUAUCAACCCAAUUUGUAGAGAAUUUGCAGGUUAGAGGAGCUGGGGUUCGUUCGAAUUUACUUGGAGAGAGAGGGAGACACCGCUCAGCAUGGUUGUUGGAGCGAGAUCGAGGCUUGUUUGAGAAGAUCUUUGAUGAGGUGUAAGAUAAUAAUAUGGGCUGUGUUCUGAUGAACAUCGAGCUCAUCUUUUGGGUUGAUUCGAUGGGGAAUUGUUUUAUUAAGUUGAAUAAGUUGGGCAGUCUGCGAGGGUCUUUUUCCUCCUUAUCAAUUUCUUUUCUGUUUGUUGGAUUAGGAUAUGUUUGUGAACUUGGAAGUGUAUCUGAUUGGGACCUGGCUGAGGAUAAAGUACAAAAAUUUUAAUUAUCAUAUCUUGGCUUUUACAAGAAUACAAGGUUUCGCACAGUUUCUGUUUUUCUACUAGUCUUUUUAUCAAAUUCUUAAUCCCAUCCCCCAC
This is a long non-coding RNA of Eucalyptus grandis, 1828 nucleotides long. RefSeq lists it as uncharacterized. Lineage: Eukaryota; Viridiplantae; Streptophyta; Magnoliopsida; Myrtales; Myrtaceae. The record is from RefSeq and is a predicted model, not a curated record. The transcript has 5 exons.